AGCGAACGUUUGCGGCGGGCCUAACACAUGCAAGUCGAACGCACUAGCAAUAGUGAGUGGCGCACGGGUGCGUAACACGUGGGUAAUCAACCCUUCAGCCUGGGAUAACGACUCGAAAGGGUCGCUAAUACCGGAUACGGCGCGAGAGGCUUCGGCUUCUCACGAGAAAGCCACGCAAGGGGCACUGAAGGACGAGCCUGCGGCCCAUCAGCUAGUUGGUGAGGUAAGAGCUCACCAAGGCUAAGACGGGUAGCUGGUCUGAGAGGAUGAUCAGCCACACUGGAACUGAGACACGGUCCAGACUCCUACGGGAGGCAGCAGUGGGGAAUAUUGCGCAAUGGGCGAAAGCCUGACGCAGCCACGCCGCGUGAGCGAUGAAGGCCUUCGGGUCGUAAAGCUCUGUGGGGAGAGACGAAGAAAGCCUGUGAAGAGCAGGCCUUGACGGUAUCUCCCUAGCAAGCACCGGCUAACUCCGUG
Molecule: ribosomal RNA, 477 nt
Filed under: uncultured bacterium
Lineage: Bacteria
Description: bacterial SSU rRNA
Rfam family: Bacterial small subunit ribosomal RNA
Source: RNAcentral